This 440-nucleotide ribosomal RNA is filed under the name uncultured bacterium. RNAcentral's name for it is "partial 16S ribosomal RNA". It matches the Rfam family "Bacterial small subunit ribosomal RNA", at positions 338 to 795 of the family's 1533-position model. The record is from RNAcentral.
CCUACGGGUGGCAGCAGUGGGGAAUAUUGCACAAUGGGGGAAACCCUGAUGCAGCGACGCCGCGUGAGUGAAGAAGUACUUCGUUAUGUAAAGCUCUAUCAGCAGGGAAGAAAAUGACGGUACCUGAGUGAGAAGCCCCGGCUAACUACGUGCCAGCAGCAGCGGUAAUACGUAGGGGGCAAGCGUUAUCCGGAUUUACUGGGUGUAAAGGGAGCGCAGACGGCAGUGCAAGUCUGGAGUGAAAGGCGGGGGCUCAACCCCCGGACUGCUGUGGAAACUGGACGGCUGGAGUGCAGGAGAGGGCAGUGGAAUUCCUAGUGUAGCGGUGAAAUGCGUAGAUAUAAGGAGGAACACCAGUGGCGAAGGCGGCUGACUGGACUGUAACUGACGCUGAGGCUCGAAAGCGUGGGGAGCAAACAGGAUUAGAUACCCGGGUAGUC